CCGAACCGACUAAUGUUGAAAAAUUAGCGGAUGACCUGUGGCUGGGGGUGAAAGGCCAAUCAAACCGGGAGAUAGCUGGUUCUCCCCGAAAGCUAUUUAGGUAGCGCCUCGUGAAUUCAUCUCCGGGGGUAGAGCACUGUUUCGGCUAGGGGGCCAUCCCGGCUUACCAACCCGAUGCAAACUGCGAAUACCGGAGAAUGUUAUCACGGGAGACACACGGCGGGUGCUAACGUCCGUCGUGAAGAGGGAAACAACCCAGACCGCCAGCUAAGGUCCCAAAGUCAUGGUUAAGUGGGAAACGAUGUGGGAAGGCCCAGACAGCCAGGAUGUUGGCUUAGAAGCAGCCAUCAUUUAAAGAAAGCGUAAUAGCUCACUGGUCGAGUCGGCCUGCGCGGAAGAUGUAACGGGGCUAAACCAUGCACCGAAGCUGCGGCAGCGACACUGUGUGUUGUUGGGUAGGGGAGCGUUCUGUAAGCCUGUGAAGGUGUGUCGUGAGGCAUGCUGGAGGUAUCAGAAGUGCGAAUGCUGACAUAAGUAACGAUAAAGCGGGUGAAAAGCCCGCUCGCCGGAAGACCAAGGGUUCCUGUCCAACGUUAAUCGGGGCAGGGUGAGUCGACCCCUAAGGCGAGGCCGAAAGGCGUAGUCGAUGGGAAACGGGUUAAUAUUCCCGUACUUGGUGUUACUGCGAAGGGGGGACGGAGAAGGCUAUGUUGGCCGGGCGACGGUUGUCCCGGUUUAAGCGUGUAGGCUGGUUUUCCAGGCAAAUCCGGAAAAUCAAGGCUGAGGCGUGAUGACGAGGCACUACGGUGCUGAAGCAACAAAUGCCCUGCUUCCAGGAAAAGCCUCUAAGCAUCAGGUAACAUCAAAUCGUACCCCAAACCGACACAGGUGGUCAGGUAGAGAAUACCAAGGCGCUUGAGAGAACUCGGGUGAAGGAACUAGGCAAAAUGGUGCCGUAACUUCGGGAGAAGGCACGCUGACACGUAGGUGAAGUGAUUUACUCAUGGAGCUGAAGUCAGUCGAAGAUACCAGCUGGCUGCAACUGUUUAUUAAAAACACAGCACUGUGCAAACACGAAAGUGGACGUAUACGGUGUGACGCCUGCCCGGUGCCGGAAGGUUAAUUGAUGGGGUCAGCGCAAGCGAAGCUCCUGAUCGAAGCCCCGGUAAACGGCGGCCGUAACUAUAACGGUCCUAAGGUAGCGAAAUUCCUUGUCGGGUAAGUUCCGACCUGCACGAAUGGCGUAAUGAUGGCCAGGCUGUCUCCACCCGAGACUCAGUGAAAUUGAACUCGCUGUGAAGAUGCAGUGUACCCGCGGCAAGACGGAAAGACCCCGUGAACCUUUACUAUAGCUUGACACUGAACAUUGAGCCUUGAUGUGUAGGAUAGGUGGGAGGCUUUGAAGUGUGGACGCCAGUCUGCAUGGAGCCGACCUUGAAAUACCACCCUUUAAUGUUUGAUGUUCUAACGUGGACCCGUUACCCGGGUUGCGGACAGUGUCUGGUGGGUAGUUUGACUGGGGCGGUCUCCUCCUAAAGAGUAACGGAGGAGCACGAAGGUUGGCUAAUCCUGGUCGGACAUCAGGAGGUUAGUGCAAUGGCAUAAGCCAGCUUGACUGCGAGCGUGACGGCGCGAGCAGGUGCGAAAGCAGGUCAUAGUGAUCCGGUGGUUCUGAAUGGAAGGGCCAUCGCUCAACGGAUAAAAGGUACUCCGGGGAUAACAGGCUGAUACCGCCCAAGAGUUCAUAUCGACGGCGGUGUUUGGCACCUCGAUGUCGGCUCAUCACAUCCUGGGGCUGAAGUAGGUCCCAAGGGUAUGGCUGUUCGCCAUUUAAAGUGGUACGCGAGCUGGGUUUAGAACGUCGUGAGACAGUUCGGUCCCUAUCUGCCGUGGGCGCUGGAGAACUGAGGGGGGCUGCUCCUAGUACGAGAGGACCGGAGUGGACGCAUCACUGGUGUUCGGGUUGUCAUGCCAAUGGCACUGCCCGGUAGCUAAAUGCGGAAGAGAUAAGUGCUGAAAGCAUCUAAGCACGAAACUUGCCCCGAG
This 2046-nucleotide ribosomal RNA is filed under the name Salmonella enterica. RNAcentral's name for it is "partial 23S ribosomal RNA". It matches the Rfam family "Bacterial large subunit ribosomal RNA", at positions 774 to 2803 of the family's 2925-position model. RNAcentral also lists the same sequence under 2 other names. Lineage: Bacteria; Pseudomonadati; Pseudomonadota; Gammaproteobacteria; Enterobacterales; Enterobacteriaceae. The record is from RNAcentral.